UCCUGGCUCAGAUUGAACGCUGGCGGCAUGCCUUACACAUGCAAGUCGAACGGCAGCGGACCUUCGGGUGCCGGCGAGCGGCGAACGGGUGAGUAAUAUAUCGGAACGUACCUUUCAGUGGGGGAUAACGUAGCGAAAGUUACGCUAAUACCGCAUAUUCUGUGAGCAGGAAAGCAGGGGAUCGCAAGACCUUGCGCUGAUUGAGCGGCCGAUAUCAGAUUAGCUAGUUGGUGAGGUAAAGGCUCACCAAGGCGACGAUCUGUAGCGGGUCUGAGAGGAUGAUCCGCCACACUGGAACUGAGACACGGUCCAGACUCCUACGGGAGGCAGCAGUGGGGAAUUUUGGACAAUGGGCGCAAGCCUGAUCCAGCCAUGCCGCGUGAGUGAAGAAGGCCUUCGGGUUGUAAAGCUCUUUCGGCCGGGAAGAAAUCGCACAGGUUAAUACCCUGUGUGGAUGACGGUACCGGAAUAAGAAGCACCGGCUAACUACGUG
Molecule: ribosomal RNA, 493 nt
Filed under: uncultured bacterium
Lineage: Bacteria
Description: bacterial SSU rRNA
Rfam family: Bacterial small subunit ribosomal RNA
Source: RNAcentral